AAUUUUGAAGACACAGUGUUUCAGAGAGUGAGACGGUGAUUGCUGUGAUUAGAAAUUGGAGAAGCAAUUGGUGGUUGAACAUGCGAUGGGGCAAACCAUUUCAACAUGAAUUGGGGAUGUGCCUGAGAAGACCCAACUUUCCCAAAGGAACCAAGAGCACAGCCUUGGAAGAAAUGAGCUGGAAAUAACACGCUCAUCUAACCACUGAUGUAGAGCUAUAGAACACGUGACCAGUGACAGUCUGUGAGUGGUCUCUCCACGUGACUAAUUAUGACAUGGAUUGUCUAUGCUCCUGGUUCCAGUUUAAGAAGAAAAUAAAAGAAAAUCUUUUAAAUUUCUUCCUUGAUGUCUCAUCAGAAUUGGAGCCACUUUUCCUCUGCAAUACUGCCUUCGGAUGCUGACUGGGACGACUUGUGGGACCAGUUUGAUGAGCGGCGGUAUCUGAAUGCCAAAAAGUGGCGCGUUGGUGACGACCCCUAUAAGCUGUAUGCUUUCAACCAGCGGGAGAGUGAGCGGAUCUCCAGCAAUCGGGCCGUCCCGGACACUCGCCAUCUGAGAUGUACGCUGCUGGUGUAUUGCACGGACCUUCCACCCACUAGCAUCAUCAUCACCUUCCACAACGAGGCCCGCUCCACGCUGCUCAGGACCAUCCGCAGCGUAUUAAACCGCACCCCUACUCAUCUGAUCCGGGAAAUCAUAUUAGUGGAUGACUUCAGCAAUGACCCUGAUGACUGUAAACAGCUCAUCAAGUUGCCCAAGGUGAAAUGCUUGCGCAAUAAUGAACGGCAAGGUCUGGUCCGGUCCCGGAUUCGGGGUGCUGACAUUGCCCAGGGCACCACUCUGACUUUCCUCGACAGCCACUGUGAGGUGAACAGGGACUGGCUCCAGCCUCUGUUGCACAGGGUCAAAGAGAAAUCUCCUUCCGAGUGUGGAUGUGCGGGGGCAGCCUAGAGAUCGUCCCCUGCAGCCGAGUGGGGCACGUCUUCCGGA
Molecule: small RNA, 990 nt
Filed under: Pongo abelii (Sumatran orangutan)
Lineage: Eukaryota; Metazoa; Chordata; Mammalia; Primates; Hominidae
Description: processed transcript
Source: RNAcentral